CUUGAAUGAAUGCAGCUUGAGGAGACCCGGCCAUAUACACUGGGCCACAGGUUACCCUCGGCAAUGCCCACAUCAGCCGUCAGCCUGAGCCUCCCCAGGAGAGCAAGGCUCACACGACAAAGGCUGCCCGUGGCCAAUGAGGUGGCUGAGCCCAGCCAGGACCUUUCUCGGACUCCCGGGAUGUGGCUCUGCUCGUGAGCUGCCUGGUCAGCUCUCUCGGGGUGAGAGGGGCUUGUCACACGGGCCUCUGCCUGCAGUGUGACCCUUCUCAGCUUCUCUCAGCAGCCCUGCCUGCGGAGUGUCACCGCCACCAUGAUCAUUUCCCUGACACAGCGAGGGUGGGGGGACGUCCUGGGUAGAGACAGGGCCCGUGGCAGCAGCAGGCUCAGGGGCGCCCUGCACUGGUGGGCUGGGGACCUGGUGGAGACCACGCCAAGGGCUGGACAAGGGGACGAGCCUCCACCCUGGCCUCUCCGCAGGCCUCAGCAGCCCCUCCCACAGGCAGAAGGGUUGACACUGGGUUCUGCCCUCACUGCAAGAGCUGCAAGUGCCACGUGCUGUUCUGCCCAAUCUGGUGUCUGCAGGUGAGGGAAGGGCUGCCGCUGGCCCGUUUCUGAGUGUUCAGCACCUAAGGGUGACAGCACUGUCUGUCCCUACCCUCCAGGUCCUGUUUGAAGAUCAAACCCAUGCUCACAGGCCAAUUUUUUUUUUCUUUUAGAGACAGGGUCUCACUUUGUCACCCAAGCUGGAGUGCAGUGGUGCGAUUAUAGCUCAAUGCAGCCUCCAAUUCCUGGACUCAAGGGACCCUCCUGCCUCAGCCUGCCAAGUAGCUUGGACUAUAGCUGUGUGUUUUCUUAUUAUUUUGUAGACAUGGGGUCUGGCUAUGUUGUCCAGGCUAUUCUCAAAAUUCCCGGCCUCAAGCAAUCCUCCUGCCUCGGCCUCUCAAAGGUUGGGAUUACAAGUGUGAGGCAAGGCACCCAGCUCAGCCACAGAGCCCUGUUGCAUCUCUCUUACUAGGAGCAAGAGCUGACUGCCCCCUCAUCCCCAUUCCAGAGUGUUGGGGCUGUGUUCAGCCGAGGCCGGGCCACUGGCAUGGCCCAGGGAGCGGGAUCCUUCACUGCUGCCCCAAAUCUGAGAUCAUUCCACCUUGACAAGACUUCCUCAUCCAAUCCCUUUACUUGACAGCUGGGGAAACCAAUGCGCACAGAGCACCCCCAGCUCACUCGGGGUCUCAGAGCUGAUCCAUGAGCAGAGGCUGAGAUCCUGGGAUCUUGUCCCCCAGCCUCCCUGCAAGCUUACUCCCUUUCUGCUGGAAGAGAUGGGGCCGGACCUCGACCAGCAGCCCUGGCCUGGACAUGACUGUGCUCAUGCAGGUAUUGAGGCCGAGAUGCCCCGGCAUCAUAUGUUUUUCUUUUCUUUUCUUUUCUUUUUUUGAGAUGGUGUCUCACUCUGUCACCCAAGCUGGAGUGCAGUGGCAUGAUAUUGGCUCACUGCAACCUCUGCCUCCCGGUUAAAGUGAUUCUCCUGCCUCAGCCUUCCAAGUAGCUGGGCCUACAGGCUUGUACCACCAUGCCUGACUAAUUUUUGUGUUUUUACUAGAGACGGGGUUUCCCCAUGUUGGCCAGGCUCGUGUCAAACUCCUGACCUCAGGUGAUCCACCUGCCUUGGCCUCCCAAAGUGCUAGGAUUACAGGCAUGAGCCAUGGCAUCACUUAAAUGUAGUGAGAGGCCGGGCUCGGUGGCUCAUGCCUGUAAUCCCAGUACUUUGAGAGGACGAAGCUGUCAGAUCACCUAAGGUCAGGAGUUCGAGACCAGCCUGGCCAAUAUGGUGAAACUGUGUCUCUACAAAAAAAUAGAAAAAAAAAAUCCCUGCGUGGUGGUGAGUACCUGUAGUCCCAGUUACUCAGGAGUCUGAGGCAUGAGAAUCGCUUAAACCUUGGAGGCAGAGGCUGCAGUGAGCUGAGAUGGCGCCACUGCACUCCAGCCUGGGUGACAGAGCAAGACUUUGUCUCUAAAUAAUUAAAUAAAUAAAUAUGGCCGAACAUGGUGCCUUAGGCCUGUAAUCCCAACACUUUGGGAGGCUGAGGCAGGUGGUUCAUGAGGUCAGGAGCCUGAGACCAGCCUGGCCAAGACGGUGAAACACUGUCUCUACUAAAAAUACAAAAAUUAGCCAGCUGUGGUGGCAGGCACCUGUAAUCCCAGCUACUUGGGACACUGAGGCAGGAGAAUCGCUUGAAACUGGAAGUCAGAGGUUGCAGUGAGCCGAGAUUGCACCACUGCACCCUAGCCUGGGCGAUGGAGCAAGACUCCAUCUCAAAUAAAUAAAUUAAUAAAUACAGAGCAAGAUUCCAUCUUAAAUAAAUAAAUAAACUUACACCUGUAAUCCUAGCACUUCGGGAGGCUAAGACAGGUCAAUCACCUGAGGUCAGGAGUUCGAGACCAGCCUGACCAAUAUGGCUAAACUCCAUCUCUACUAAAAAUACAAAAAUUAGCCGGGCCUUUUGACGUGUGCCUGUAGUCUCAGCUACUUGGGAGGCUGAGACAGGAGAAUUGCUUGAACCCAGGAGGUGGAGGUUGCAGUGAGCCGAGAUCUCGGCUGCACUUCAGCCUGGGUGACAGAGUAAGACUGUCUCAAAAGGAAUAAAUAAAAUACAAAAUAAAAAAAAUGUAGUAAGAUUGCAGAGUCGUGCCGCGGAAGCGUGCUGGUCCUAUCCAUGUAGUGAAGGCUGAUUUCAUACAGAAAUGUCACAAGAACUUUUUUUUUCUUUUUCUUUUUCUUUUUUUGAGACGGAGUCUCGCUCUGUCACCCAGGCUGGAGUGCAGUCGCGCGAUCUCAGCUCACUGCAAGCUCUGCCUCCCGGGUUUAUGCCGUUCUCCUGCCUCAGCCUCCCGAGUAGCUGGGACUACAGACCUGUGCAGCAGAUGCUGGGGGAUCCACUAGGCCCAGACAGUCUUAGGACUUGUGUCUCUCCUGCUGUGCAUCCAUACUGGGUGCUUUAGAAAUGGCAGGCAGACCAGAAGCCCCUGUAGCAAGUGAGGACAAAGUGUGGGAAGGCCGUGAGGGUCUGCAGUCCGAGAUGGCCUUGUCCUCAACCUGCAGUGCACUGUUGAUGCGCUGGAAUGCCGCCUCCUUCUCCCGGUCCAGGUCUUCAGCAGUGACCCGGUACCCCAGCUCUACGGGAGGUGGCAGCAUCAAAGGCUCCCCUC
This 3206-nucleotide long non-coding RNA is filed under the name Homo sapiens (human). RNAcentral's name for it is "HSALNT0275501". Lineage: Eukaryota; Metazoa; Chordata; Mammalia; Primates; Hominidae. The record is from RNAcentral.